RNAcentral lists this ribosomal RNA (578 nucleotides) under Salmonella enterica subsp. enterica serovar Hadar. RNAcentral's name for it is "partial 23S ribosomal RNA". It matches the Rfam family "Bacterial large subunit ribosomal RNA", at positions 1 to 609 of the family's 2925-position model. The record is from RNAcentral. Lineage: Bacteria; Pseudomonadati; Pseudomonadota; Gammaproteobacteria; Enterobacterales; Enterobacteriaceae.
GGGUUGUGAGGUUAAGCGACUAAGCGUACACGGUGGAUGCCCUGGCAGUCAGAGGCGAUGAAGGACGUGCUAAUCUGCGAUAAGCGCCGGUAAGGUGAUAUGAACCGUUAUAACCGGCGAUUUCCGAAUGGGGAAACCCAGUGUGAUUCGUCACACUAUCAUUAACUGAAUCCAUAGGUUAAUGAGGCGAACCGGGGGAACUGAAACAUCUAAGUACCCCGAGGAAAAGAAAUCAACCGAGAUUCCCCCAGUAGCGGCGAGCGAACGGGGAGGAGCCCAGAGCCUGAAUCAGCAUGUGUGUUAGUGGAAGCGUCUGGAAAGGCGCGCGAUACAGGGUGACAGCCCCGUACACAAAAGCGCAUGUGCUGUGAGCUCGAUGAGUAGGGCGGGACACGUGGUAUCCUGUCUGAAUAUGGGGGGACCAUCCUCCAAGGCUAAAUACUCCUGACUGACCGAUAGUGAACCAGUACCGUGAGGGAAAGGCGAAAAGAACCCCGGCGAGGGGAGUGAAAAAGAACCUGAAACCGUGUACGUACAAGCAGUGGGAGCACCCUUUGGGGUGUGACUGCGUACCUUUU